This 185-nucleotide ribosomal RNA is filed under the name uncultured Staphylococcus sp. Its description in RNAcentral is "partial 16S ribosomal RNA". It matches the Rfam family "Bacterial small subunit ribosomal RNA", at positions 155 to 334 of the family's 1533-position model. The record is from RNAcentral. Lineage: Bacteria; Bacillati; Bacillota; Bacilli; Caryophanales; Staphylococcaceae.
AACCGGAGCUAAUACCGGAUAAUAUAUUGAACCGCAUGGUUCAAUAGUGAAAGACGGUUUUGCUGUCACUUAUAGAUGGAUCCGCGCCGCAUUAGCUAGUUGGUAAGGUAACGGCUUACCAAGGCAACGAUGCGUAGCCGACCUGAGAGGGUGAUCGGCCACACUGGAACUGAGACGCGGUCCAG